CCUACGGGAGGCAGCAGUGGGGAAUAUUGGGCAAUGGGCGCAAGCCUGACCCAGCAACGCCGCGUGAAGGAAGAAGGCUUUCGGGUUGUAAACUUCUUUUCUCAGGGACGAAGCAAGUGACGGUACCUGAGGAAUAAGCCAAGGCUAACUACGUGCCAGCAGCCGCGGUAAUACGUAGGUGGCAAGCGUUAUCCGGAUUUACUGGGUGUAAAGGGCGUGUAGGCGGGACUGCAAGUCAGAUGUGAAAACCAUGGGCUCAACCUAUGGCCUGCAUUUGAAACUGUAGUUCUUGAGUACUGGGGAGGCAGACGGAAUGUCUAGUGUAGCGGUGAAAUGCGUAGAUAUUAGGCGGAACACCAGUGGCGAAGGCGGUCUGCUGGACAGCAACUGACGCUGAGGCGCGAAAGCGUGGGGAGCAAACAGGAUUAGAUACCCUGGUAGUC
RNAcentral lists this ribosomal RNA (443 nucleotides) under uncultured bacterium. RNAcentral describes it as "partial 16S ribosomal RNA". It matches the Rfam family "Bacterial small subunit ribosomal RNA", at positions 338 to 795 of the family's 1533-position model. The record is from RNAcentral.